UACGGGGGGGGCAAGCGUUGUUCGGAAUUACUGGGCGUAAAGGGCUCGUAGGUGGCCAACUAAGUCAAUCGUGAAAUCCCUCGGCUUAACCGGGGAACUGCGCUUGAUACUGGAUGGCUUGAGUUUGGGAGAGGGAUGCGGAAUUCCAGGUGUAGCGGUGAAAUGCGUAGAUAUCUGGAGGAACACCGGUGGCGAAGGCGGCAUCCUGGACCGACACUGACGCUGAGGAGCGAAAGCCAGGGGAGCAAACGGG
RNAcentral lists this ribosomal RNA (253 nucleotides) under uncultured bacterium. RNAcentral describes it as "partial 16S ribosomal RNA". It matches the Rfam family "Bacterial small subunit ribosomal RNA", at positions 524 to 776 of the family's 1533-position model. The record is from RNAcentral.